RNAcentral lists this ribosomal RNA (255 nucleotides) under uncultured bacterium. RNAcentral's name for it is "partial 16S ribosomal RNA". It matches the Rfam family "Bacterial small subunit ribosomal RNA", at positions 524 to 777 of the family's 1533-position model. The record is from RNAcentral.
UACGAAGGGGGCUAGCGUUGUUCGGAUUUACUGGGCGUAAAGCGCACGUAGGCGGAUCUUUAAGUCAGAGGUGAAAUCCCAAGGCUCAACCUUGGAACUGCCUUUGAUACUGGGGAUCUUGAGUCCGGGAGAGGUGAGUGGAACUGCGAGUGUAGAGGUGAAAAUUCGUAGAUAUUCGCAAGAACACCAGUGGCGAAGGCGGCUCACUGGCCCGGUACUGACGCUGAGGUGCGAAAGCGUGGGGAGCAAACAGGG